GACGAACGCUGGCGGCGUGCUUAACACAUGCAAGUCGAACGGAAAGGCCCUUUCGGGGGUACUCGAGUGGCGAACGGGUGAGUAACACGUGGGUGAUCUGCCCUGCACUUCGGGAUAAGCUUGGGAAACUGGGUCUAAUACCGGAUAGGACUACGGACUGCAUGGUCUGUGGUGGAAAGCUUUUGCGGUGUGGGAUGGGCCCGCGGCCUAUCAGCUUGUUGGUGGGGUGAUGGCCUACCAAGGCGACGACGGGUAGCCGGCCUGAGAGGGUGUCCGGCCACACUGGGACUGAGAUACGGCCCAGACUCCUACGGGAGGCAGCAGUGGGGAAUAUUGCACAAUGGCGCAAGCCUGAUGCAGCGACGCCGCGUGGGGAUGACGGCCUCGG
Molecule: ribosomal RNA, 388 nt
Filed under: uncultured bacterium
Lineage: Bacteria
Description: bacterial SSU rRNA
Rfam family: Bacterial small subunit ribosomal RNA
Source: RNAcentral